GUCGAAGUCGCCCUGCUGUUGAAGUCGAGGAUGAAGUCCGGCUCCCGUAGGAGUCCGGAUGGAGUCUACCUGCAGUCGAAGUUGCCCUGCUUUUGAAAUCGAGGAUGAAGUCCGACUCCCGUAGGAGUCCGGACAGAGUCUACCUGCGGUCGAAGUUGCCCUGCUGUUGAAGUCGAGGACGAAGUCCGGCUCCCGUAGGAGUCCGGACUGUGUCUACCUGCGGUCGAAGUCGCCCUGCUGUUGAAGUCGAGGACGAAGUCCGGCUCCCGUAGGAGUCCGGACGGAGUCUACCUGCAGUCGAAGUCACCC
This 309-nucleotide long non-coding RNA is filed under the name Elaeis guineensis (African oil palm). Its description in RNAcentral is "long non-coding RNA (EGUI_LNC064818)". The record is from RNAcentral. Lineage: Eukaryota; Viridiplantae; Streptophyta; Magnoliopsida; Arecales; Arecaceae.